Hibiscus syriacus is the source of this 262-nucleotide long non-coding RNA. RefSeq lists it as uncharacterized. The record is from RefSeq and is a predicted model, not a curated record. NCBI's taxonomy places the organism in Eukaryota, Viridiplantae, Streptophyta, Magnoliopsida, Malvales, Malvaceae. The transcript is spliced from 3 exons.
CGGACAGGAGGUUAGGCAUUAAAAUACAAGACGGGAGAGCUUAGGCAUCCAAGAGGAGAGAGGAGAACGAAGAAGAAAAAGAAGACAGAGAACGAAAGAGAAGGUAAGUUGAAAUCUGGGAGGAAUUCUCUCUCUCCUCUCAGGUGGACGAAAAGAAUGCAGGCCUUUGCUAGAAUGACGCUUCCGGUUCGCAGGGUUUGGAGCGGUGUCUCCGCCCGCAUCGGCGUUCGUAAAAGAGGGCAUAUGAAGCUUGGGAAGGACG